UUAGGAAUCUUCCACAAUGGGCGCAAGCCUGAUGGAGCGACACUGCGUGAAGGAUGAAGGUUUUCGGAUCGUAAACUUCUGAACGAGGGACGAACAAUGACGGUACCUCGCUAAAAGCACCGGCUAACUCCGUGCCAGCAGCCGCGGUAAUACGUAGGGGGCGAGCGUUGUCCGGAAUUAUUGGGCGUAAAGAGCGUGUAGGCGGCCUGGUAAGUCUGCCGUGAAAACCUGGGGCUCAACCCUGGGCGUGCGGUGGAUACUGCUAGGCUAGAGGAUGGUAGAGGCGAGUGGAAUUCCCGGUGUAGCGGUGAAAUGCGCAGAUAUCGGGAGGAACACCAGUAGCGAAGGCGGCUCGCUGGGCCAUUCCUGACGCUGAGACGCGAAAGCGUGGGGAGCAAACAGGAUUAGAUACCCCCGUAGUCC
This 423-nucleotide ribosomal RNA is filed under the name uncultured prokaryote. RNAcentral's name for it is "bacterial SSU rRNA". It matches the Rfam family "Bacterial small subunit ribosomal RNA", at positions 355 to 796 of the family's 1533-position model. The record is from RNAcentral.